This 253-nucleotide ribosomal RNA is filed under the name uncultured bacterium. RNAcentral's name for it is "partial 16S ribosomal RNA". It matches the Rfam family "Bacterial small subunit ribosomal RNA", at positions 524 to 776 of the family's 1533-position model. The record is from RNAcentral.
UACGGAGGGUGCAAGCGUUGCUCGGAAUUAUUGGGCGUAAAGGGUAGGUAGGUGGUCUGAUUUGUCUCAUGUGAAAGCCUUGAGCUUAACUCAAGAAGUGCGUGAGAAACGGUCAGACUAGAGUACUGGAGAGGCUAGUGGAAUUCCCGGUGUAGCGGUGAAAUGCGUAGAGAUCGGGAGGAACACCAGAGGCGAAGGCGGCGACCUGGACAGGCACUGACACUCAACUACGAAAGCGUGGGGAGCAAACAGG